This is a long non-coding RNA of Salvelinus sp. IW2-2015, 155 nucleotides long. RefSeq lists it as uncharacterized. NCBI's taxonomy places the organism in Eukaryota, Metazoa, Chordata, Actinopteri, Salmoniformes, Salmonidae. The record is from RefSeq and is a predicted model, not a curated record.
GGGGUGAGGCAGGAUACGCCCCUGGAGGCGACAGACAGCUACUGGCCGUUGGAACGAGGAGAGGAUGGAGGGAGGGGUGAGGCAGAAUGACGCCCCCUGGAGGCGACAGACAGCUACUGGCCGUUGGAACGAGGAGAGGAUGGAGGGAGGGGUGA